This 299-nucleotide long non-coding RNA is filed under the name Eutrema salsugineum. RNAcentral describes it as "long non-coding RNA (ESAL_LNC000715)". The record is from RNAcentral. Lineage: Eukaryota; Viridiplantae; Streptophyta; Magnoliopsida; Brassicales; Brassicaceae.
UGCAUUCUCCCGUUCCCCGUCUUGGCCCGCAGGUUGCUUGCCGGAUCUUCGGUUGAAGUUUUCCGGCGCCUAGUCCCCGGAUCUAGGAGGAUCAACUCCGAGAGACCGGAACAUCUGCUCGUUCGUCUGCACCGGUAGUUGCCUCCUAGAGGAUGAAAAAGAAGCGACGAGCACUCCAGAUGCCCGCAUCCUGUCCAACUGUGCUGCGAGAACCGGAUUGUCGGCGCCCAAAAUAUCGAAGAGACCGAACAACUGGUCGAUUUUCAUCUUGUCUUAUGUCCGCAUCUGCUGGAACUCCU